This 10547-nucleotide long non-coding RNA is filed under the name Lactuca sativa (garden lettuce). RNAcentral describes it as "long non-coding RNA (LSAT_LNC005892)". Lineage: Eukaryota; Viridiplantae; Streptophyta; Magnoliopsida; Asterales; Asteraceae. The record is from RNAcentral.
GGUGGAAAAACCCUAAUUUUAGGGUUUGAGACGUAUUUAAACCCCAUUAUAGCCUCCCAUUUGGCCUCCUCACUUAUCCUUCACCCCCAGAAAACCCUAGUUCGUCCCUUUUUCCUUGUUGUGUGUGUGUUUGAUCUUUUGGGCUUUUUUUUGUGAAGAAAAGUUGGGAAGAAGAAGAAGAGAAGUGGAAGAAGGAGAACUUGAGCACCUUGAGCUCAAAGAUCUGGGAUCAUUCCUUCAUUUGGCAUUCAAAAGAGGUAUAAAGCUUCCAACUUUCCUCUUGUAAGCUUAGAUCUAGGAGUUUUUGGAAGUUGGGCCUUUUAGGUCCAAAGGAAGGAUCUUUAUCAUGCAACUUCGUUUCUGGAGCUUGGGAUUGCUAUCCUUGAAGCUCAAGUUCCCUCAUCGCAAUAAAGUUUCGAUUUUUGAGGCUUUCAUGAAGCCAUGCAUGAGAUCUAGCCACCUUCUUGGUUAUAAAUGGUUGUUUUUAGAAGUUUAAGCUUAAGGGAGUCUUGUAAGCCAUCAAGUAAGCGACUUUAUGGUUUAAGACGUGGGAUAAGACCUGGAUCUAAGAUUUUAGCUUCUGACCCGGAUUAUUAAGCACUUAAUGAGACUUUGGCUUAACAGGGCUGUAUGUUGGGUGUACAAGGAGGUACGCGCCGCGUACCAGCCAGCAGCCAGUACGAUCAGCGUACCUUGGUGUACGCCCCGCGUACGCUGCCAGUUUGGGCUUCGAGCGUUUGGGCCUCGGUGUGGGCUGAGUUUUGGGACUUAGGGGUUAGGGAGAAUAAUUGGAGGAGGUGAAAGAAGUAUGAUUUCCAUGAGACAUCAUCUUCAUUUAGGAAAGCUUGUUUCAAGAGAUUUGGGAAGAUCAUAAAUGUUUAAACCAGACAUCUUUUGGGAGAUAUUCAAGAUAGUUGAUAUAAAAUCCUUAAUAUGACACCCAAUAUGAAAUAUUAAGGCCAGGACCCAACACAUUAUUUUAUAACUCGGAAGAGGGAUGCCGUAAUCCAAGCUAUAAAAUAUUUGAAGGUAGGUGAAUGACGAUUCACCAAUUUCCACCAUGAAAACGAAAUAAUUAUUAGGUUUUUAAUUGGAUUUGAAACUCCUAGAUCUUUUGAGAUUUAUUGAACUGUUCAAUGGCAUGUUUCAAUCUCGAGUGUGCCCUUCAGGUUUUGUGACUGGGAUGCUGAGGAUCACAAAACAAGGUGUGAAUAACCAUGCAAAUAUACUUGGUACCCUUAAUAUUUACCCCUCAAUCGAUGUGCCGGUUAACCACACACGCUCCAUCGAUACUAUGAUAAACAUUAAGUUACCCUUUUCCUACCUUGUUAAAUACGAGUUAGUGUGUCGGUUAACCACACACGCUCCACUAACCGACUUAAACAAAGUGCAAAGUGUAAUUUCAUGGAUUAGCACCUUAUUCACAUUUUCCUAAGUAACUAAGAUUGGGUAUUUUUAAAUGGUUUAGUUACUUAGUAUUUAUCAUUAAUACUUUUAAUGAAGGGAGAAUUAUAGUCCUUGUCCUACCCGUUCGGCUAACGACCCUCCACCAGUCAAGGAAGCGGUGGGUGAGAGUGGACACCCAUUAAACUGCCAUUUUAUAGGCAGUAACCUUAUACCCCCCUUAUAGACCGGCUUCGUGAAUGAGGCCUACUAACGGUAAGACUGACUUGCUCUUAUAUAUAUAUAUAUAUUAUUAACUUAUAAUAUUAUAAAGUAUAAGGGUUGAAUUUUAACUUUUUAAAAUUCUAAGGGCUUAACUUGGAAUUAAAGUAUUCAUAAGAGAAAACUUUUUCAAAUUCCAAAACUUGAGGGCAAGUUUUGAAACUAUUCAAAACUAAUUAAUUCCAUAACUUAUGAGUUUAAAGUAGUUUUAAUUAAAAACUCUUCGAGUUCCAUAACUUGAGGACAAGUUAUGGAAGACUUUAAACUAAUUAAAAAAAAUUACCUUUUUUUUAUUAUAACUUAUGGAACUAAUUAAGGUUACACUUUUUUAUUUACUUAUUAUUUAAUGAAGAGACUCUUGAACCUCCAUAACUUGAGGACAAGUUAUGGAGUCAUAAAACCAUUUAAUUAGAACUAGACUCUUCAUUUUGUAACAUUUGCCAACUUUUAUGAGUUUUAUGAUUCUUAAAUGUGACUUUUCAUAUAACUUGAGGACAAGUUACAAAAACACACUUUGGAAUCAACUCUUAGAUUAAAAUGGAUUGAAAUCGACUAUUUCGCACAAAUUUUCUAUUAAUCUCAGAACAAGAUAAUUCAAAUCAUCAAUCUUCAAGAAAUUAGCAUGAACAUACAAACUAAUACAAAUCUUAAAAUUAUGACAAUUAUCUUAGAAAUUGGAUUAGCAUCAACAUUACCACAUCAAAAACAAGUUUAUAAGUCCAAAAACAUCUUAGGGUAAUGUUCCUAGUCCAAUUCCAGCCAAAACAAUCGAAUAUAUGCUGUCAGGGGGUCCAACUCGUCGAGUGCACGAACCAACUCGGCGAGUUGGAUGCAUUUUGCCUUGGACUCGGCGAGUCUGCUGUGCAGACAGCAUCAAAACUCGAUUUUUUCAGCUACUUUUGCAAGUAUAACAAGAAAACAAGCCUAGGCUCUGAUACCACUGUUGGGUUUUGAGCAUUCUAACACUCCUAAGUGUACAUGCAACCCUAAAUACCUUGGAUCUAUGUUUUCUCUAUUAUACAUGCAAUUAUGAACAUCCAAGGUAUUAUCCUAAUCUAGCAUACAAAAUAAUGAAUAUAACAAGAUAGAAUACAUACCUCUUUGAUGUAGAAUGUCUUCAUGAAGCUUGAGUGCCUAGUGCCUCAAGUGUGACACCUCAAAUGGUUCACACAACACCAAAUACACUUGGAAUAACUUGAGAGAAACUUGAACACUCCUAAAAUCGGCUAGCCCUUUCUUAUUAUUCAUAGUGGCCGAUUUUUCCCAAAGAAUAUGAUCUUAUAUAGUUGUUACAAUUAGGGUAAACCCUAAUUGUCAUGGCUUUCCAUUUCCUUGGAUCCAUGGGUUCAAAUACACCAUGGAGCAUCCAUGGACCAUCCUAUGGGUUUUAGCCCAACUUGAUUAUCCAUGGAGCAUUAGCCCACUAUACAAGUAUGGAUGAUUUACACAAUCAACCCAUAUAUUUAAUUAGUCUUCUUUUGAUCACUUAAUUAAUUCUAGAUUAAUUCUUGAUCAAUACUAAUUAAAUAAUCCUAUUAAUAUAUUAGAACUUAUAAUAUAUUAAUCAACCUUAAGUGUUAUUUCUCUCAUUAUAGUCUAUCCAAGUGCAUGAUGCCAUGCAACCCAAAUGGACCAUGUCGGGUCGGGUCAAGUCUUACCAAUUAUAGUUAUGGACUUAGACAUUAAUCCAACAGUAUGUAGUAUAUGUGUCAGUUGAUAUGUUUAUGUUAUGCUAUGCUCAGUCAGUUCUGGACUUCUGUCCAAUGCAGUUAGUUCCGGGGUUAGGUCCGAUGCAGGGGACAAGGUCCCAGUCAGUUCCGGACUUCGGUCCGAUGCAGGGGACAAGGUCCCAGUCAGUCCGGACUUCGGUUCGAUGCAGUUAGUUCCGAACUUUGGUCCCAUGCAGGGGACAAGGUCCCAGUCAGUUCCGGACUUCGGUCCGAUGCAGUUUCCGGACUUCGGUCUGAUGCAAAGGGCAAGACCCUGGUUAGUUCCGGAUUUCGGUCCGAUGUAGUGGGCAAGGACCAAUAUGUGUUAUAUGUUAUUGUAUGGUAUGUGGUAGUUUGGAGGAGCUCACUAAGCUUCAUGCUUAAAGUUUCAGUUUUGGUUUCAGGUACUUUCGCAAUUAAAGGGAAGAGCUUGGGAUGAUGGCAUCGCGCACACCACAGCUUCAGUUUGUCCUGGGAGUUGAUUUAGCUUUUCAUUGAUAUGUUUUGAUUCAGUCUUGAUACAGUUUUCUUGUGAUUAUGUGUUAUGGUUUUGAGAUAUUGACGUAUGGGUUUUAUUUUAUGGUAUUGAAAUAAUGAUUUUAGUAAUGAUUAGACAAAAAAUUUUGGGUCGUAUUUUGGGAUGUUACAAGUUGGUAUCAGAGCCUUGGUUUGAGGGAUUCGGAUACACUUUCGGGUGUGUCUGAACUCAAACUAAGGAAACGGUAAAAGAUUUUCAAAGGAAAAACAUUUUCGAAAAAGGAACUUUUUAAAAGAACUUAGAAAGAAAAAUAGUUUUGAUAAAGAGUAAAAGGUGUGGUGCGUGUGAUCAGCCGAGCUCUAGUAAGUACUCCCAAAUUACUCAUACAAGUUUAUGUUAUGAUUAUCAGUUUCAGUUUCAGUAGAACAGCAUGCUAGAAUAGGACUAAGGAUCUAGGAGGAUGCCUUAUGUGCCUGCUAUAUGUGUUUCAGCUUUAUGAGAACUGCAUGCUAGUAUUGAGUAGACAACAGUAGGAUAGCCUGUUUAGGUUAUGCCUGAUAGUAUGAGCUUAGCAUUGUAUGCUAGUACAGUUUAUCGUUAUGAGGAUAGAAUUGCUUGAGUGGUUUCAUGUGUCCGAAUGCUGCUUGCUUUGUUCUUUGUGGGACUCUAAGUGAUGGGAGUUAGCCAUUAUGUGAAUACGUCACAUCACAUGUGAGCAGGGUUGAAUAAUCUCAGAGUGCUGGAUUUGGCCCUAUUGUGCAGCUCUUAUCUGAGUCCAACCAUUGUAGGGACGAGUCUUUUACUCGAAGGAUUAUCUGAGCCUCAUCACAUGUGAUGGUAUUCAGGUGAUGACUAAUUGGCAUUACAAGGAGGCCUUCAGCAACUGAGGAUUGGAUUGGGUAGAGUUAGAGAUUUCCCUAUGGCAAGCCUAGGAUGAGAGUAGCAGAUAUCAGUAGCAGUAUAAGUGACUUGGUGGAGUCGAGGCAGUACUUGAGGAAAGUACGGAUAGAUGUGGAAGGUAGUAUGGGCCCGUACUACUAAAAGUAGAGGAUCCGUACUUGAACCAAGGAAAGCUGAGAUGAGACCAGGAAACUUGUGGUAGUAGUGAUCCCUCGAAAUAUAUCAGUGUUUCUGACGUUUGUUGUGAUGUGUUUUCAGAAUGGUGGUUUUGCGCCUUAGACCAGUAGUCGGCAGUUCAGGUGCCGGAGAGGGAUCAGGACCAGGCUCGGAGGCCGGGCAGUUGGACGAGCAGAUUAGGGAGUUUCUCUCUUCAGAGAUUACUCGCAUCAUACUUGAGCAGACUCCUGUGAUCUUUGGUUUGAUCAAGGAGGGUAUACUAGAGUUGAUGGAGGAGAGACUAGGCACAUUUCGUGCUGAGGUGGCGGCCAUGAUGGGGUUACACACACUUACGUUUAGGGAGUUCCGGGCAUGCGGAGCUCUGGAUUAUCACGGGGCGCGGGGCCCCAUAGCGAGUACUAGAUGGUUGACGGAUGUGGCCAACUCUUUCCGCACGAGCAGAUGUCCCGAGGGGGACAAGGUUAGAUUGACGUCCUGUCUUCUGAAGGACAGGGCACAAGAUUGGUGGGAGGAGGUUAUGUCAUUGGAGAUGACGCAAAUUUGGAUGCUAUGACAUGGGAUGACUUUACUACCAGGUUCAGGGCUGAGUUUGCACGGGUUAUUGAGGUGCAACAGUUGGCCAGAAAGUUUCAGGACCUCACCCAGACGACAGAGACAGUGGUGGAGAUCACCGCCAAGUUCAGGGAGAGGGCACUUCUCGUUCCUUAGUACGCAGCUGAUGAGGAAAUGAAGAAGGAUCAGUAUCAUGAGAUGAUGCGGAGUAAUAUCCGCCAGUUUGUGAGCCGGUCCAGCUAUAAAACGCUGGAUGACAUGAUUGCUAGGGCUCAAGAGAGAGAGAGAGAGAGAUUGACCUUGAGAUGGAGAGAAAGAGGAAGUCGGAGGUGGCUCCAGGUUUAGGGAGUUCGGGCAAAAAGCCCAAGGGUUCAUAUCACAGAGCUAGGAGUCAGCAGAGCCACGGUCGGUGUGGCAAGUGUGGGAGAUUGCACGAUGGGGCGUGAAAGGCAGGGAGUGUCAUCUGCUACAAGUGCGGCCGGACUGGGCAUAUGAGCAGAGAUUGUACAGCCACUACUACCACCAUUGCGGCAUUAGAUCUGAUUUGCUUCCAGUGCAAUCAGAGGGGGCAUAAAAAGUCCCAGUGUCCGAGUUUAGCUGCUGCGGGGAAGGUGUCAGCACCUGCUCCUGCUACUUUGAGGAUUACAGAUGGCCGUCAGGGACGAGUUGAGUUGCCGGUGGCGAAGAGUAGGGCUUUUCAGCUGACAACAGAGGAGGCGCGAUCAAAUCCUGACGUGGUGACGGGUAUGUAUUUUUCCCUUAUCUCUGCACUUAUUAUUGAUUGUUUCUUAUGGUUAUAUGUUUUGUAUAGGGUCGUUCUCAGUGAACUGCAUUUCCGCCACAUUAUUGUUUGAUUCGGGGGCUACCCGAUCAUUCGUUUCUCUUGCGCUUAGCAAGAGGUUUAGGAGAGCUCCAGGAGAGCUAGAUUGUCUACUUGAGGUUAAGAUAGCAGCUGACAGGACCAUUAGGGUGGCGAGGGUACACAGAGGAUGUUCUCUACAGUUAUUCGAUGAGCAGUUUCCGGUGGAAUUGAUCCCUAUUCCCCUGCGAGGGAAUAAGGUCAUAGUAGGCAUGGAUUGGUUGAGCCCCAACGGGACGGUGAUAGAUUGUGAGCUACAGUUGGUGAGGGUUCGCACUCCUAGUGGGGGAGAGUUAGUGAUUCAGGGCGAGAAGCCACAGUGUGGACCAGUUCUAUGUUCAGCAGUGAGAGCGAGGCGCUAUUUCCAACAGGGUUUCGCCAGUUAUAUUGCCUAUGUUUUAGAUGCCCGAGAGAAGGGAAAGAUGACGGUUGACGAUGUUCCUGUAGUGCGAGACUACCCGAAUGUAUUUCCAGAGGAUUUGCUUGGAAUACCUCCCGAGAGACAGGUUGAGUUCAGGAUUGACCUGAUCCCUGGUGCGGCUCCGAUUGCUAAGGCACCGUAUCGGUUGGCUCCCCCAGAGAUGCAGGAGUUGUCUACGCAGCUGCAUGAGCUGCUAGACAAGGGUUUUAUCAGGCCGAGCAGUUCGCCCUGGGGAGUACCGAUUUUGUUCGUGAAGAAGAAGGACAGGUCGCACCGUAUGUGUAUUGAUUAUCGGGAGUUGAAUAAGGUAACGGUGAAGAACCGUUACCCACUCCCAACGAUAGAUGAUUUGUUUGAUCAGCUGCAGGGAGCGUCUUGGUUUUCCAAGAUCGAUUUACGCUCCGGGUAUCAUCAAAUGCGACUCAGGGAUGAGGAUGUGCAGAAGACUGCUUUCAGGACCCGGUACAGUCAUUAUGAGUUCGUGGUGAUGCCGUUUGGGCUCACCAACGCUCCAGCCGCGUUCAUGGAUCUCAUGAACCACUUAAGUAGGCUGUUGUUGGAUCGAUCGGUGAUAGUAUUCAUUGAUGGCAUCUUGGUUUAUUCCAAGACUCAGGACCAGCACGAGGAGCACCUGAGGGAGGUGCUAGAGAUUUUGAGGAGGGAGAGACUUUUCGCGAAGUUCUCCAAAUGCGAGUUCUGGUUGCGCGAGGUGCAGUUCCUUGGACACCUCGUCAACCAGAAGGGUAUUUUGGUAGAUCCGGCCAAGAUAGAGGCCGUGAUGCAGUGGGAAGUCCCGAGAUCUCCAUCUGAGAUUAGGAGCUUCCUAGGUUUAGCAGGGUACUACAGGAGAUUCAUCCAGGAUUUCUCCAAGAUAGCUGUACUGCUCACCCGACUAACUAAGAAGUCAGUGGUGUUUCGCUGGGGGCCUGAGCAGCAGGCAGCAUUUGAGACCCUCAGGCAGAGAUUGUGCGAGGCACGGAUUCUUACCCUACCAGAGGGAGUAGAGGAUUUUGUAGUCUACUGUGAUGCUUCGAUCGCAGGUAUGGGAGCAGUGUUGAUGCAACGAGGCCGUGUGAUAGCUUACGCCUCGAGACAGUUGAAGCCUCACGAGGCUAACUAUCCUACGCAUGAUUUAGAGUUGGGGGCAGUGGUGUUUACCCUCAAUAUUUGGCGACAUUACCUCUAUGGGGUCCGUUGUACCAUUCACACGGAUCACAAGAGCUUGAGGUACCUCAUGGAUCAGCCGAAUCUGAACAUGAGGCAGAGGCGAUGGUUAUAUAUGUUAAAGGAUUAUGAUUCUGAGAUCCUUUAUCACCCAGGGAAGGCCAACGUAGUGGCCGAUGCCCUGAUCCGCAAGGCCGCAGCGGCCCCGAUCAGGGACAUAUGUUUGAGGAUGACAGUAAUUACCCCGUUGUUAGAGCAGAUCAAAGGGGCUCAGGUCGAGGGCCUCAAGGAGGAGAGGCAGAAGUGUUGGAGGAUUAUGGGCCGAGUAGCUUCCUUCGACUAUGAUAGUCGAGGAUUAUUGACCCUUCAUGGGAGAGUUUGGGUACCUUACUGGGGCGGUGUGUGGCAGGUAUUGAUGGAUGAGGCCCAUAAGUCUUGAUUUUCCAUCCAUCCAGGGGCGACGAAGAUGUAUAGAGAUAUUCGACCCUAUUAUUGGUGGCCCUGCAUGAAGCGGGAUGUCGCUUGGUAUGUGGAGAAGUGCCUGACCUACAGGAAGGUCAAGGCAGAGCACUAGAGGCCUCACGGAAAGAUGCAGUCGUUAGACAUUCCAGUGUGGAAAUGGGAAGACAUCACCAUGGAUUUCAUCACUAAGCUUCCCAGGACUGGACAUGGAGUGGAUUCGAUUUGGGUUAUUGUGGAUCGAUUGAUGAAGAGUGCUCAUUUUAUACUGAUCCACGAGAGCAUAUCGGCAGAGAAGCUAGCCGAUAUUUAUGUGCGAGAGGUUGUGGCACGGCAUGGAGUGCCUGUUUCGGUGGUGUCAGACCGAGACGUCCGUUUUACUUCCAGAUUCUGGAAGCGGUUUCACGACGAGAUGGAAACUCGUCUCCAUUUCAGCACCGCGUUGCACCCCCAGAUGGUCGGGCAGAGCGAGAGGACGAUUCAAACUCUCGAGGAUAUGCUCCGAGCAUGUGUUUUAGAUUUCGGUGGCAGUUGGGAUACAUAUCUUCCGUUAGCGGAGUUUUCGUAUAACAACAAUUACCAAGCGAGUAUUGAUCGUCCUCCUUUCUAGAUGCUCUGCGGGAGGAAGUUCAGGAUCCCGAUUUGUUGGGGCGAGGUCGGUCAGCGGGUCAUUAGGAGCACCGAGGUGGUGCUCAAGACGACAGAGUUGAUCCAGCAGGUCCGUAGUAGACUGCAGACUGCGCAGAGGCGGCAGAAAAGUUACGCCGACAGGAGGCGUUCAGACUUGGAGUUUCAGGUAGGUGACAUGGUCCUCUUGAAGGUAUCACCCUGGAAGGGUGUCAUCAGGUUUUGGAAGAAGGGCAAGCUGGGCCCUGGGUUCAUCGGUCCUUUUAGGGUUUUGGCCCGGGUGGGUCGUGUGGCUUACUGGUUGGAUCUUCCGGCCGAACUCAGGCAGAUCCACAACACCUUCCAUGUGUCCCAGUUAUGGAAGUGUUUAGUGUACGAGUCAGCAGUUGUACCCUUGGAAGACAUUCAGGUUAAUAGCAGCCUGAAUUACAUUGAGAGACCAGUCGCGAUUUUGGAUUGAAAGACAAAGACCUUGAGGAACAAGGUAGUUCAGCUAGUGAAGGUGCAGUGGCAGCACCAGAAGGGUUCAGAGUGGACGUGGGAAUCCGAGGAGGAGGUGUUUGAGCAUUAUCCGGAAUUGUUUUAAGAUUCAGUGGCAGCGGACUUCGAGGACGAAGUUUGAUUCAAGUUGGGGAGAUUUGUAGCAAUCGUCUUCUAAGGUAUUAAUUAAUUUAAUGUUAGUGGGCUUUGAUUGGUAAUUUGUCACCUUGGAUUGGAGUGGACCUUCAUGAUUUUAGGCCGAGAUGUAAGCUGCCCAUAAGCCGUACGUGGGGCGUAACUCGUCGUACGCGGGGCGUAGUGUCUUUAGUUUGCGCGGGUUGUGAGAGGCGUACGCACAGCGUACCUAGAGGUACGCCCAGCAUACGCGACCAAAUGGCAAAACCCUAAUUUUAGGGUUUGAGACGUAUUUAAACCCCAUUAUAGCCUCCCAUUUGGCCUCCUCACUUAUCCUUCACCCCCAGAAAACCCUAGUUCGUCCCUUUUUCCUUGUUGUGUGUGUGUUUGAUCUUUUGGGCUUUUUUUUUUGAAGAAAAGUUGGGAAGAAGAAGAAGAGAAGUGGAAGAAGGAGAACUUGAGCACCUUGAGCUCAAAGAUCUGGGAUCAUUCCUUCAUUUGGCAUUCAAAAGAGGUAUAAAGCUUCCAACUUUCCUCUUGUAAGCUUAGAUCUAGGAGUUUUUGGAAGUUAGACCUUUUAGGUCCAAUGGAAGGAUCUUUAUCAUGCAACUUCGUUUCUGGAGCUUGGGAUUGCUAUCCUUGAAGCUCAAGUGCCCCCAUAGCAAUAAAGUUUCGAUUUUUGAGGCUUUCAUGAAGCCAUGCAUGAGAUCUAGCGACCUUCUUGGUUAUAAAUGGUUGUUUUUAGAAGUUUGAGCUUAAGGGAGUCUUGUAAGCCAUCAAGUAAGCAACUUUAUGGUUUAAGACAUGGGAUAAGACCUGGAUCUAAGAUUUUAGCUUCUGACCUGGAUUAUUAAGCACUUAAUGAGACUUUGGCUUAACAGGGUUGUACGCUGGGCGUAUAAGGAGGUACGCGUCGCGUAC